Molecule: small nucleolar RNA, 109 nt
Organism: Lolium rigidum
Lineage: Eukaryota; Viridiplantae; Streptophyta; Magnoliopsida; Poales; Poaceae
Product: small nucleolar RNA Z118/Z121/Z120
Exons: 1
Source: RefSeq, a predicted model, not a curated record
UGUUUUCUGUGAUGAAUCACAAGGACAGUAUUUUAAUAAGGCAUCUGUUUAAAAAGAGCCUUCUUCCUUGAGUAUGCACACUAAACUGAUAAUGUAUUCUCAGCAAACA